Molecule: ribosomal RNA, 493 nt
Filed under: uncultured bacterium
Lineage: Bacteria
Description: partial 16S ribosomal RNA
Rfam family: Bacterial small subunit ribosomal RNA
Source: RNAcentral
GACGAACGCUGGCGACGCGCCUAACACAUGCAAGUCGAACGGAAAGGCCUGCUUUCCCUUGUGGCUUGCGGGUACUCGCGUGGCGAACGGGUGAGUAACACGUGAGUGAUCUGCCCCCAACUUGUGUAUAAGCCUGGGAAACUGGGUCUAAUUCCCGAUAGGACUGCAGGGUGGUGCCUGUGGUGGAAAACGAUUUUCUAGUGGUUGGGGAUGAGCUCGCGGCCUAUCAGCUUGUUGGUGGGGUAAUUGCCUACCAAGGCGGCGACGGGUAGCCGGCCUGGGAGGGUGGAAGGGCAAAUUGGGAAUGAGAGACGGACCAGACUGCGACGGGAGGAAGGAGUGGGGAAUAAUGGACAAUGGGAGGAAGCAGGAAGCAGCGACGCGGCGUGGGGGAUGACGGCCUGCGGGUUGGAAACUCCUUUCGACCGCGAGGAAGCCACCUGGUUGGAAGGGUGGUGACGGUAGUGGUAGAAGAAGCACCGGCUAACUACGU